GACAGAGGGUGCGAACGUUGUUCGGAAUUACUGGGCGUAAAGCGCUUGUAGGCUGUUCGGAAAGUCGGGUGUGAAAGCCCUGGGCUCAACCUAGGAAGUGCACUCGAAACUCCCGAACUGGAGUCCCGGAGAGGAAGGCGGAAUUCUCGGUGUAGAGGUGAAAUUCGUAGAUAUCGAGAGGAACAUCGGUGGCGAAGGCGGCCUUCUGGACGGUGACUGACGCUGAGACGCGAAAGCGUGGGGAGCGAUCCGG
This 253-nucleotide ribosomal RNA is filed under the name uncultured bacterium. RNAcentral's name for it is "partial 16S ribosomal RNA". It matches the Rfam family "Bacterial small subunit ribosomal RNA", at positions 524 to 776 of the family's 1533-position model. The record is from RNAcentral.